UACGUAGGGUGCGAGCGUUAAUCGGAAUUACUGGGCGUAAAGCGUGCGCAGGCGGUUUUGUAAGCCAGAUGUGAAAUCCCCGGGCUUAACCUGGGAAUGGCAUUUGGGACUGCAAGGCUGGAGUGCGGCAGAGGAGACUGGAAUUCCUGGUGUAGCAGUGAAAUGCGUAGAUAUCAGGAGGAAUACCGAUGGCGAAGGCAGGUCUCUGGGCUGACACUGACGCUCAUGCACGAAAGCGUGGGGAGCAAAC
Molecule: ribosomal RNA, 250 nt
Filed under: uncultured bacterium
Lineage: Bacteria
Description: partial 16S ribosomal RNA
Rfam family: Bacterial small subunit ribosomal RNA
Source: RNAcentral